UCCGUAGGCGGGCGUCUAAGUCAGUGGUGAAAUCUUACAGCUCAACUGUAAAAUUGCCAUUGAUACUGGAUGUCUUGAAUUAGUGUGAAGUGGUUAGAAUGUGUAGUGUAGCGGUGAAAUGCAUAGAUAUUACACAGAAUACCAAUUGCGAAGGCAGAUCACUAACACUAUAUUGACGCUGAGGGACGAAAGCAUGGGGAGCGAACAGGAUUAGAUACCCUGGUAGUCC
This 229-nucleotide ribosomal RNA is filed under the name uncultured bacterium. Its description in RNAcentral is "partial 16S ribosomal RNA". It matches the Rfam family "Bacterial small subunit ribosomal RNA", at positions 568 to 796 of the family's 1533-position model. The record is from RNAcentral.